CCACCUGCCUCCCCUGACACCACCUGCCUCCCCUGACACCACCUGCCCCUGACACCACCUGCCUCCCCUGACACCACCUGCCUCCCCUGACAACAUCUGACACCAUCUGCCUUCCCCUGACAACAUUUGACACCACCUGCCUCCCCUGACACCACCUGCCUCCCCUGAUCCCACCUGCCACCACCUGCCUCCCCUGAUCCCACCUGCCUCCCCUGACAUCUGACACCAACUGCCUCCAUUGACAUCUGACAUCACCUGCCUCCCCCUGACAUCUGACACCACCUGCCUUCUCUGACACCACCUGACUCCCCUGACACCACUUGCCUCCCCUGACACAUCCUGCCUCCCUUGACACCACCUUCCUCCCCUAACACCACCUGCCUUCCCUGACAACUUCCACCACUGUCACCACCAGGUCCUCUCUGACAACCCCCAAUGAGAAUAACUUCCACCACCUGCCUCGUGACACUAAAUCCCCAACUACUGACACCACUUGACUCCAACCCUCACCAAUGAUGCAACCUGCCUCUCCUGACACCAUUUUAUCAUCCUUCAACCAUUUCUCACUGGAAAUAAUGGAUGACACUCCAUGGCGGUGGAAGAGUUACAGUACUGGUGAAACAACUCCCGAAGAUGACUCUCCAUGGCGGUGGAAGAGUUACAGUACUGGUGAAACAACUCCCGAAGGUAAGAGA
Non-coding RNA from Procambarus clarkii (red swamp crayfish), 695 nucleotides. The record is from RefSeq and is a predicted model, not a curated record. Lineage: Eukaryota; Metazoa; Arthropoda; Malacostraca; Decapoda; Cambaridae.